This 29-nucleotide small RNA is filed under the name Bombyx mori (domestic silkworm). RNAcentral's name for it is "ovarian small RNA-9945". Lineage: Eukaryota; Metazoa; Arthropoda; Insecta; Lepidoptera; Bombycidae. The record is from RNAcentral.
AAACCGGCCUGCUCGACAGACUGUCUUGC